RNAcentral lists this ribosomal RNA (497 nucleotides) under uncultured bacterium. RNAcentral describes it as "partial 16S ribosomal RNA". It matches the Rfam family "Bacterial small subunit ribosomal RNA", at positions 28 to 507 of the family's 1533-position model. The record is from RNAcentral.
GAUGAACGCUGGCGGCGUGCCUAAUACAUGCAAGUCGAGCGAACGGACGAGACGCUUGCUUCUCUGAUGUUAGCGGCGGACGGGUGAGUACCACGUGGAUAACCUACCUAUAAGACUGGGAUAACUUCGGGAAACCGGAGCUAAUACCGGAUAAUAUUUUGAACCGCAUGGUUCAAAAGUGAAAGACGGUCUUGCUGUCACUUAUAGAUGUAUCCGCGCUGCAUUAGCUAGUUGGUAAGGUAACGGCUUACCAAGGCAACGAUGCGUAGCCGACCUGAGAGGGUGAUCGGCCACACUGGAACUGAGACACGGUCCAGACUCCUACGGGAGGCAGCAGUAGGGAAUCUUCCGCAAUGGGCGAAAGCCUGACGGAGCAACGCCGCGUGAGUGAUGAAGGUCUUCGGAUCGUAAAACUCUGUUAGUAGGGAAGAACAGAUGUGUAAGUAACUGUGCACAUCUUGACGGUACCUAAUCAGAAAGCCACGGCUAACUACGUG